This 460-nucleotide ribosomal RNA is filed under the name uncultured bacterium. RNAcentral's name for it is "partial 16S ribosomal RNA". It matches the Rfam family "Bacterial small subunit ribosomal RNA", at positions 338 to 795 of the family's 1533-position model. The record is from RNAcentral.
CCUACGGGUGGCAGCAGUGAGGAAUAUUGGUCAAUGGGCGAGAGUCUGAACCAGCCAAGUAGCGUGAAGGAUGACUGCCCUAUGGGUUGUAAACUUCUUUUAUAUGGGAAUAAAAUGUUCCACGUGUGGGAUUUUGUAUGUACCAUAUGAAUAAGGAUCGGCUAACUCCGGUCCAGCAGCCGCGGUAAUACGGAGGAUCCGAGCGUUAUCCGGAUUUAUUGGGUUUAAAGGGAGCGUAGGUGGAUUGUUAAGGCAGUUGUGAAAGUUUGCGGCUGAACCGUAAAAUUGCAGUUGAAACUGGCAGUCUUGAGUACAGUAGAGGUGGGCGGAAUUCGUGGUGUAGCGGUGAAAUGCUUAGAUAUCACGAAGAACUCCGAUUGCGAAGGCAGUUCACUGGACUGCAACUGACACUGAGGCUCGAAAGUGUGGGUAUCAAACAGGAUUAGAUACCCCUGUAGUC